GACGAACGCUGGCGGCAUGCCUAACACAUGCAAGUCGAGCGAGUUGAUCCCUUCGGGGUGAAGCUAGCGGCGGACGGGUGAGUAAUACGUGGGCAACCUGCCUCAUAGAGGGGAAUAGCCUUCCGAAAGGAAGAUUAAUACCGCAUAAGAUUGUAGCUUCGCAUGAAGCAGCAAUUAAAGGAGCAAUCCGCUAUGAGAUGGGCCCGCGGCGCAUUAGCUAGUUGGUGAGGUAACGGCUCACCAAGGCGACGAUGCGUAGCCGACCUGAGAGGGUGAUCGGCCACAUUGGGACUGAGACACGGCCCAGACUCCUACGGGAGGCAGCAGUGGGGAAUAUUGCACAAUGGGGGAAACCCUGAUGCAGCAAUGCCGCGUGAGUGAUGGCGGCCUUCGGGUUGUAAAGCUCUGUCUUCGGGGACGAUAAUGACGGUACCCGAGGAGGAAGCCACGGCUAACUACGUGCCAGCAGCCGCCGUAA
This 478-nucleotide ribosomal RNA is filed under the name uncultured bacterium. Its description in RNAcentral is "partial 16S ribosomal RNA". It matches the Rfam family "Bacterial small subunit ribosomal RNA", at positions 28 to 523 of the family's 1533-position model. The record is from RNAcentral.